AGAGGGGUCGUGUAUCUUGCAUUACUGAAAACCGGUAAUACUACAUAUUAUGUAAAAUAACAAUUUUACCCCUCUAACUCCCAAAACCCUUUCAAUAUGUCAUUUCAAAAAAUUUAAUUUAAAAUUUUGAAUUGUCAACUUUUAAAUUUUAAAUUUAAAAUUUAAAUUUUUAAACUUCAAAUUUAAAAUUUAAAUUUUAAAUUUGAAUUUAAAUUUUAGAUUUAAAAUUUAAAUUUUAAAUUUUAAAUUUGAAUUUAAAUUUUAUAUUUUAAAUUUCAAAUACUAAAUUUUAAAUUUCAAAUUUAAAUUUUAAAUUUUAAAUUUAGAAUUUGAAAUUUAAAAUCUAAAAUUUCAAAUUUCAAAUUUGNAAAAAUUUUAAAUUUGAAGUUUAAAAAUUUUGAUUUUAAAUUUCAAAUUCUAAAUUUAAAAUUUAAAUUUUAAAUUUGAAAUUUUAAAUUUUAAAUUUUAAAUAUUAAAUAUUAAAUUUUAAAUUCAAAUUUGUAUUUUAGUUUCUGAAUUUUAAAUUUAUAUUUUUAAUUUUUAAUUUUAUAUUUAUAUUUACAUUUAUAUUUUGGAUUUUAAAUUUAAAAAUUUCAUAUUUAUAUUUUAAAUUAAAAUAUUAAAUUUAUAUUUUUGUUCAAAUUUAAAAUUUAAAAUUUAAAAUUUAAAUUUUAAAAAUUAAAUUAUUUAAAAUAAAAUUUAGUAAAAAAAUAUUAUUUGUAAAUAGUAAAAAAAAAAAAGUUUACUAAAUAUGAUUAAGGGCAAUUUUGGAAUAGACUAUACUUUAUUAUCUAGAUUACUGAAUUUUAUAGAUAAAACCAAAUAUAUUAAUGCUAUAACCACUGGAAUCCAGCGUUACAUUCCUGUAUUAAACCAAACGCGCUAAUGCAGCAUAAGUAGUAAUCUCUUUUAGAAAUCCAAGAUAUCUAGAUAUAUCGAAAUACUCUGUAAUAUUAUAUAACUUGAACCAAACGCGCCCUUAAGAGUAUCCAGACUUUUUUGCUACAGAGUUUUUGUCCAUUGGAUCUAUCAAGAUUCGUGCAGUGAAAACAACGAAACGGACAGAAAGCGGAGAAGCAUCCUGUCGUUAACUGUGAAGUGAAAAAGGAAAUGUUACUUUCCCUUUUUCACACUCUCUUUCCUCUUCUCUCUCUUCCUCCCUUUUUCUCUGUUAUUUUCUCCUCCCCACUCUCUUCAUCUCUAUCAAACCCUCAUCUCAAUCUCACUUCGAUCUCACUCGGGGAGCGACCGCACCGUAGCACCUAGCAACC
This 1271-nucleotide long non-coding RNA is filed under the name Ananas comosus (pineapple). RNAcentral describes it as "long non-coding RNA (ACOM_LNC027788)". The record is from RNAcentral. Lineage: Eukaryota; Viridiplantae; Streptophyta; Magnoliopsida; Poales; Bromeliaceae.